RNAcentral lists this ribosomal RNA (460 nucleotides) under uncultured bacterium. Its description in RNAcentral is "bacterial SSU rRNA". It matches the Rfam family "Bacterial small subunit ribosomal RNA", at positions 29 to 533 of the family's 1533-position model. The record is from RNAcentral.
AACGAACGCUGGCGGCAGGCCUAACACAUGCAAGUCGAGCGCCCCGCAAGGGGAGCGGCGGACGGGUUAGUAACGCGUGGGAAUGUACCCUUUUCUACGGAAUAGCCUCGGGAAACUGAGAUUAAUACCGUAUACGCCCGGUAACGGGGAAAGAUUUAUCGGAGAAGGAUCAGCCCGCGUAAGAUUAGAUAGUUGGUGGGGUAAUGGCCUACCAAGUCUACGAUCUUUAGCUGGUUUGAGAGGAUGAUCAGCAACACUGGGACUGAGACACGGCCCAGACUCCUACGGGAGGCAGCAGUGGGGAAUCUUAGACAAUGGGCGCAAGCCUGAUCUAGCCAUGCGCGUGAGUGAAGAAGGCCUUAGGGUCGUAAAGCGUACUUUCAGGGGGGAAGAUAAUGACGGUACCCACAGAAGAAACCCCGGCUAACUCCGUGCCAGCAGCCGCGGUAAAGUGACUACU